AUACGGAGGAUCCGAGCGUUCUCCGGAUUUAUUGGGUUUAAAGGGUGCGCAGGCGGCCAUUUAAGUCAGCGGUUAAAUCGUGGGGCUCAACCCCAUUCUGCCGUUGAUACUGGGUGGCUUGAUUGCGGUCGAGGUUGGCGGAAUUCGUUGUGUAGCGGUGAAAUGCAUAGAUAUGACGAAGAACACCGAUUGCGUAGGCAGCUGACCAGAUCGCAAAUGACGCUCAUGCACGAAAGUGCGGGGAUCGAACAGGAUUAGAUACCCUGGUAGUCCGCACAGUAAACGAUGAAUACUUGUUUUCGGCGAUAUAAUGUCGGAGGCAAAGCGAAAGCGAUAAGUAUUCCACCUGGGGAGUACGCCGGCAACGGUGAAACUCAAAUGAAUUGACGGGG
RNAcentral lists this ribosomal RNA (392 nucleotides) under uncultured bacterium. RNAcentral's name for it is "partial 16S ribosomal RNA". It matches the Rfam family "Bacterial small subunit ribosomal RNA", at positions 523 to 918 of the family's 1533-position model. The record is from RNAcentral.